AUUGAACGCUGGCGGCAGGCCUAACACAUGCAAGUCGAGCGGAUGAAGGGAGCUUGCUCCUGGAUUCAGCGGCGGACGGGUGAGUAAUGCCUAGGAAUCUGCCUGGUAGUGGGGAUAACGUCCGGAAACGGGCGCUAAUACCGCAUACGUCCUGAGGGAGAAAGUGGGGGAUCUUCGGACCUCACGCUAUCAGAUGAGCCUAGGUCGGAUUAGCUAGUUGGUGGGGUAAAGGCCUACCAAGGCGACGAUCCGUAACUGGUCUGAGAGGAUGAUCAGUCACACUGGAACUGAGACACGGUCCAGACUCCUACGGGAGGCAGCAGUGAGGAAUAUUGGACAAUGGGCGAAAGCCUGAUCCAGCCAUGCCGCGUGUGUGAAGAAGGUCUUCGGAUUGUAAAGCACUUUAAGUUGGGAGGAAGGGCAGUAAGUUAAUACCUUGCUGUUUUGACGUUACCAACAGAAUAAGCACCGGCUAACUUCGUG
This 483-nucleotide ribosomal RNA is filed under the name uncultured bacterium. RNAcentral's name for it is "partial 16S ribosomal RNA". It matches the Rfam family "Bacterial small subunit ribosomal RNA", at positions 30 to 507 of the family's 1533-position model. The record is from RNAcentral.